Molecule: transfer RNA, 74 nt
Filed under: Ipomoea nil (Japanese morning glory)
Lineage: Eukaryota; Viridiplantae; Streptophyta; Magnoliopsida; Solanales; Convolvulaceae
Rfam family: tRNA
About the family: Transfer RNA (tRNA) molecules are approximately 80 nucleotides in length. Their secondary structure includes four short double-helical elements and three loops (D, anti-codon, and T loops).
Source: Rfam by way of RNAcentral
GCUCUUGUUGCUCAGUUGGUUAGAGCACUUGUUUAGUAAGCGGGAGGUCUUGAGUUCAACUCUCAACUAGAGCA